GAUCAUGGCUCAGGAUGAACGCUAGCGGCAGGCUUAACACAUGCAAGUCGAGGGGCAGCACGGAGAUAGCUUGCUAUCUUGGGUGGCGACCGGCGCACGGGUGAGUAACGCGUAUCCAACCUGCCCAUUACUCAGGGAUAGCCUUGCGAAAGUAAGAUUAAUACCUGAUGUUGUUAAAAACCCGCAUGAGUUUUUAACCAAAGAUUUAUUGGUAAUGGAUGGGGAUGCGUGACAUUAGGUAGUAGGUGAGGUAACGGCUCACCUAGCCGACGAUGUCUAGGGGUUCUGAGAGGAAGGUCCCCCACACUGGAACUGAGACACGGUCCAGACUCCUACGGGAGGCAGCAGUGAGGAAUAUUGGUCAAUGGACGAGAGUCUGAACCAGCCAAGUAGCGUGCAGGAUGACGGCCCUCUGGGUUGUAAACUGCUUUUAGUUGGGAAUAAAAAGAGGGACGUGUCCCUAAUUGUAUGUACCAUCAGAAAAAGGACCGGCUAAUUCCGUG
This 503-nucleotide ribosomal RNA is filed under the name uncultured bacterium. Its description in RNAcentral is "bacterial SSU rRNA". It matches the Rfam family "Bacterial small subunit ribosomal RNA", at positions 15 to 507 of the family's 1533-position model. The record is from RNAcentral.